UACAGGGGGUGCAAACGUUGCUCGGAAUUAUUGGGCGUAAAGCGCGCGUAGGCGGUUACCUAAGUUGGAUGUGAAAGCCCUUGGCUUAACCGAGGAAGUGCAUCCAAAACUGGGCAGCUAGAGUGUGGAAGAGGGUCGCGGAAUUCCCGGUGUAGAGGUGAAAUUCGUAGAUAUCGGGAGGAACACCAGUGGCGAAGGCGGCGACCUGGUCCGAAACUGACGCUGAGGCGCGAAAGCGUGGGGAGCAAACAGG
RNAcentral lists this ribosomal RNA (253 nucleotides) under uncultured bacterium. RNAcentral describes it as "partial 16S ribosomal RNA". It matches the Rfam family "Bacterial small subunit ribosomal RNA", at positions 524 to 776 of the family's 1533-position model. RNAcentral also lists the same sequence under 1 other name. The record is from RNAcentral.